RNAcentral lists this ribosomal RNA (429 nucleotides) under Pseudomonadota bacterium. Its description in RNAcentral is "Proteobacteria bacterium partial 16S ribosomal RNA". It matches the Rfam family "Bacterial small subunit ribosomal RNA", at positions 355 to 776 of the family's 1533-position model. Lineage: Bacteria; Pseudomonadati; Pseudomonadota. The record is from RNAcentral.
UGGGGAAUAUUGGACAAUGGGUGAAAGCCUGAUCCAGCCAUGCCGCGUGUGUGAAGAAGGUCUUCGGAUUGUAAAGCACUUUAAGUUGGGAGGAAGGGCAGUAAGCGAAUACCUUGCUGUUUUGACGUUACCGACAGAAUAAGCACCGGCUAACUCUGUGCCAGCAGCCGCGGUAAUACAGAGGGUGCAAGCGUUAAUCGGAAUUACUGGGCGUAAAGCGCGCGUAGGUGGUUCGUUAAGUUGAAUGUGAAAGCCCCGGGCUCAACCUGGGAACUGCAUCCAAAACUGGCGAGCUAGAGUAGGGCAGAGGGUGGUGGAAUUUCCUGUGUAGCGGUGAAAUGCGUAGAUAUAGUAAGGAACACCAGUGGCGAAGGCGACCACCUGGGCUCAUACUGACACUGAGGUGCGAAAGCGUGGGGAGCAAACAGG